CUGACAGGCUACGAGUCGAUCGUGAACUGGCACCCCCGGAACGCGGCCUUGCUCCUCCGGGGCGCAGAGCGUCCGGAAGAGCCGGGGGUCCUGAAGUGCUCGAGGUUGAAGGGCUUGCUCGACGACCUCAUCGAAGCUGUGGAGUUAU
RNAcentral lists this small RNA (148 nucleotides) under Scrippsiella hangoei. Its description in RNAcentral is "partial Cyanobacteria transfer-messenger RNA". The record is from RNAcentral. Lineage: Eukaryota; Dinophyceae; Peridiniales; Peridiniaceae.